GCGGGGCCCUUCCGGGUGUCCCGGGCCGCUCCGUGCUGCCCCUGCCGGCCGGAGGGGCGCGGGGUCCCCAAGCCGCCUCCUCCCCCUUUGGGGCUGCGGAGGGGAAACUGAGGCUCUGAGCCGGGCAGGCGAGGAGAGGCGCGGGACUCCGGGAUGGGGCCCUUUCUGCCUUCUGAUUAAUCAUCGCAGCAAUCACCGUGGUUAAGUAUCUCCAGGGUUUACGGAGCAUGGCCCUGGAGUUCACAGGCGCAGAAGCAACUAUGGUCCAGCCAUUGUACAGAUGAGUAAAUUGAGAUAAGGAUGCUGAGGCCCAGAGAAGCAGAGCGGCUUGCCCAGGUGCCCCGUGCAUCAGUGUCAGAUCCUGAGCCCACAGGAGGGAGGCCUGGAUCGUGAGGGAGCCCGCAGAUCCUGCCACUGAGCUCCAGGCUAGUGAGGGCACAGCAGGAUUGCUCCCAGCCUGGCAUGUGACCUGCUCAUGUGUGUCAGCAGCCCACACACCUACCAGAGUGAUCCAGUAACGUCAGCCUCAGAGAGCAGUUGGCAUAUGCGGAGCACUCAACGGAUGCUCAUCUAGUGAAGAAUGGAAUGAACUGGUCAAUGGGCAGAUGCCAAUUAUCAGAAAGAAGCCCUAAUUUUGGACUCAGAAGCCCAGCCCUCAAAUCUCAGCAGUGUGCCUGGGACAUGAGGCUUCCCCCACCAUGCUGCCGAUUUCUCACCCGUACAAUGGACGUACCACCAUCGCCACCUUCAAUGACGGGAGGGAAGGCUCCAGACUAUCUACCUCGUAACAACACCAGGUGUUCAAAAGUUGAGAUUGUUUCGAAAGCCCAACUGGAAACUCCUGUGUCCUCUUAACAACAGGUCGGGAUAGUUUUCCCACACCAUCAGACCUCCACAGCUGGCGGUGGAUUCCCAAGGAUAAGUAUAUACCCAUGAAAAAGGACAGGGCAGGCAAACACCCAAACAUCUAUGUUGUGGUUAAGACUGAGGCCCUGGGGUCAAAUUCUGGCUCCCACCACUUUCUGACUCUCUGACGUCAGCUAGGUGUUUGGACCUUCAUGCCUCAAUUUUUUCAUGUGUAGAAUGGGGAUAUAUUAUUUCACAUCAUUUCACAACAGCCCUGGGCCCCCUAAGUGAGUAAAUGGCAGAGAAGGAAGUUCAAUCUUCUUCAGGAGCAUACCACACUGCCUUCCCAGUAAACUGUACAAAUCGUACCUAUAGCACUAUAUAACUUACAUAAAAUUAUUCUUAUAUAAACAUGCUUACCAUGUUUGUGGGCUGUGUCAUGACUCAUUAUAUCAGGAAUAUGUGUUUUAUGGAGUUUUCUGUAUUUGUGUUCUAUUUCCUCACUAAAAAAAAAAAAAGAUUUAAAAAAGCGAUGCAAUGUCAAACUGUACAAAUGAGUUUGGAGCAAAAAACAGAUGCCACCGCCAGUUUUGCUUCCUGUGGCUUUUUUAUUUUUAAAUUAACAUAAUUUAUUUGUUUUUAAGUUUUAGGCUUACUGAAACAUUGAAUGGAAAGCACAGAGUUCCCAGGUACCUCCUCUCCUCUGCUGCUCACAGUUUGCCCUGUACUAACAUCUUGCCUGGGUGCAAUAAACUUAUCACAACUGAUGAACUGGUUUGAUACAUUAUUAGUAACCGAAGUCUGCAGUGCACAUUAGGGGUCAGUUGGUGUUGUGCAGUCUAAGAGUCUAAUGCAUAAUGUCCUCCAUCCACCGUCAUGGUAUCAUAGGCAAGAGAUUUUUGCCUAUGUUUUAUUCCAAGAGUUUUAUGGUUUCAUGACUUACAUUCAGGUCUUUGAUCCAUUUUGAGUUUAUUUUUGUGUAUGGAGUUAGACAGUAAUCCAGUUUCAUUCUCUUGCAUGGAGCUGUCCAGUUUUGCCAACACCGGCUGUUGAAGAGGCUGUCGUUUCCCCAUUGUAUGUAUGUUCACAGCUCCUUUAUCGUAUAUGAAUUGACCAUAGAUGCUUAGGUUUAUAUCUGGACUCUCUAGUCUGUUCUGUUGGUCUACGGGUCUGUUCUUGUGCCGGUACCAAACUGUUUUGAUUACUGUGGCUUU
This is a long non-coding RNA of Manis pentadactyla (Chinese pangolin), 2060 nucleotides long. RefSeq lists it as uncharacterized. The transcript is spliced from 4 exons. NCBI's taxonomy places the organism in Eukaryota, Metazoa, Chordata, Mammalia, Pholidota, Manidae. The record is from RefSeq and is a predicted model, not a curated record.